GUACCGUGAGGGAAAGGCGAAAAGAACCCCGGCGAGGGGAGUGAAAAAGAACCUGAAACCGUGUACGUACAAGCAGUGGGAGCACGCUUAGGCGUGUGACUGCGUACCUUUUGUAUAAUGGGUCAGCGACUUAUAUUCUGUAGCAAGGUUAACCGAAUAGGGGAGCCGAAGGGAAACCGAGUCUUAACUGGGCGUUAAGUUGCAGGGUAUAGACCCGAAACCCGGUGAUCUAGCCAUGGGCAGGUUGAAGGUUGGGUAACACUAACUGGAGGACCGAACCGACUAAUGUUGAAAAAUUAGCGGAUGACUUGUGGCUGGGGGUGAAAGGCCAAUCAAACCGGGAGAUAGCUGGUUCUCCCCGAAAGCUAUUUAGGUAGCGCCUCGUGAAUUCAUCUCCGGGGGUAGAGCACUGUUUCGGCAAGGGGGUCAUCCCGACUUACCAACCCGAUGCAAACUGCGAAUACCGGAGAAUGUUAUCACGGGAGACACACGGCGGGUGCUAACGUCCGUCGUGAAGAGGGAAACAACCCAGACCGCCAGCUAAGGUCCCAAAGUCAUGGUUAAGUGGGAAACGAUGUGGGAAGGCCCAGACAGCCAGGAUGUUGGCUUAGAAGCAGCCAUCAUUUAAAGAAAGCGUAAUAGCUCACUGGUCGAGUCGGCCUGCGCGGAAGAUGUAACGGGGCUAAACCAUGCACCGAAGCUGCGGCAGCGACGCUGAUGCGUUGUUGGGUAGGGGAGCGUUCUGUAAGCCUGUGAAGGUGUGCUGUGAGGCAUGCUG
Molecule: ribosomal RNA, 778 nt
Filed under: Escherichia coli
Lineage: Bacteria; Pseudomonadati; Pseudomonadota; Gammaproteobacteria; Enterobacterales; Enterobacteriaceae
Description: partial 23S ribosomal RNA
Rfam family: Bacterial large subunit ribosomal RNA
Source: RNAcentral